Molecule: unclassified non-coding RNA, 270 nt
Filed under: fungal sp.
Lineage: Eukaryota; Fungi
Description: partial internal transcribed spacer region
Rfam family: Eukaryotic small subunit ribosomal RNA (bases 1-46)
Source: RNAcentral
AAGUCGUAACAAGGUUUCCGUAGGUGAACCUGCGGAAGGAUCAUUAAUGAAUGAAUGUAGAGUCGGUUGUAGCUGACCUCCUAGAGGUAUGUGCACGCCUUCUCUUUCAUCCACACACCCCUGUGCACUCGUGAGACAGAGGCAUUUGUUUUCCUUUAAUUAGGGAACGGGCCUCUGUCUACAUCACAUAAAAUCUAAUUUAUUUAAAACUGAAUGUAAUUGAUGUAACGCAUCUAAUACAAAGUUUCAACAACGGAUCUCUUGGCUCUC